UGGGGAAUAUUGGACAAUGGGCGCAAGCCUGAUCCAGCCAUGCCGCGUGAGUGAUGAAGGCCCUAGGGUUGUAAAGCUCUUUCACCGGUGAAGAUAAUGACGGUAACCGGAGAAGAAGCCCCGGCUAACUUCGUGCCAGCAGCCGCGGUAAUACGAAGGGGGCUAGCGUUGUUCGGAUUUACUGGGCGUAAAGCGCACGUAGGCGGACUUUUAAGUCAGGGGUGAAAUCCCGGGGCUCAACCCCGGAACUGCCUUUGAUACUGGAAGUCGUGAGUAUGGUAGAGGUGAGUAGAAGUCCGAGUGUAGAGGUGAAAUUCGUAGAUAUUCGGAGGAACACCAGUGGCGAAGGCGGCUCACUGGACCAUUACUGACGCUGAGGUGCGAAAGCGUGGGGAGCAAACAGG
RNAcentral lists this ribosomal RNA (404 nucleotides) under Actinomycetes bacterium. RNAcentral's name for it is "Actinobacteria bacterium partial 16S ribosomal RNA". It matches the Rfam family "Bacterial small subunit ribosomal RNA", at positions 355 to 776 of the family's 1533-position model. Lineage: Bacteria; Bacillati; Actinomycetota; Actinomycetes. The record is from RNAcentral.